RNAcentral lists this ribosomal RNA (359 nucleotides) under uncultured bacterium. Its description in RNAcentral is "bacterial SSU rRNA". It matches the Rfam family "Bacterial small subunit ribosomal RNA", at positions 142 to 528 of the family's 1533-position model. The record is from RNAcentral.
GAUAACAAUUAGAAAUAAAUUGCUAAAACUCUAUAUGUUUGGAAACAAUGAAAAAAGAAAUUUGCCUAAGGAGAAGCUCACAUUUGAUUAGCUAGUUGGUAGGGUAAGAGCCUACCAAGGCGACGAUCAAUAGUUGGUCUGAGAGGACGAUCAGCCACACUGGAACUGAGACACGGUCCAGACUCCUACGGGAGGCAGCAGUGAGGAAUAUUCCGCAAUGGGCGAAAGCCUGACGGAGCAACGCCGCGUGAGGGAUGAAGGCCUACGGGUUGUAAACCUCUUUUUCCAAGGAGGAAGAUCUGACGUUACUUGGAGAAUAAGCAUCGGCUAACCCUGUGCCAGCAGCCGCGGUAAUACAG